AUUGACCUCAUUGCAGCUUCUAGAAAUUGGUGAGGUGUGUUUUUCAGGUUGCAGUGGGCAAGAAUCUUUUCUCUGAUGUGUACGCAUUCGGCCACAAGGAUGCCGAUGCCAUUUCGGAGUUUGUGCAAGUGCACAGUGGCGCAAACAUGUUGGAACUCACUGCAGGCCACUUUGUUCCUGUUGAUGUCAAUGGGAAGCUCGUGUACAAGAGAGCUGAGGAUCUCAAGGUUGGAGAUUCUCUGUGGGAAUCAUCUCAAGUCACGGGUACAAAUUUCAUGAUAUCAUUUUACUUUUUUGACACUUGUUUACAUUCCACAGAAAUCUCAAAGGUUGAGAAGCUGGGUCUCUACAACCCACUCACUCUGUCCGGCAACAUCAUGGUUAACAACGUUCUAGCUUCAGCUCACAGCGAGUGGUUCCUGGACUCCAUCUUUGAUGCCGUCGGCGCAACCGAGUACCUCCCAUACGCAUACCAGGCCGUGCUUGCUCCAGUUCGUGCCAUCUACAACAUCGUGGGCAAGGAGAUCUAUGCAAAGGGCUAUGGCGCCAUCGAUUCCAUCGCCAACGUUGCUGAGUUUGGAACCAAGUAUGGAGGAAGCAUUGCUCUCACGGUUGGAAUCGCCGGCGCCGGACUUGUGCUGGCCUCCAAGGCCUAAACAUCCCAAAAGUAAAUAAGUCAACUUAAAGCCGUAAAGAAUGUAUAUAUUUCAGAAUUUAAUUUGAAAUUAAAGCAAAAACAUAAAAAUUGCUGGGGCAUUCCGAGAAUUGAACUCGGGACCUCUCGCACCCUAAGCGAGAAUCAUACCACUAGACCAAAUGCCCAACUUGUUACCUCCAUCUAGAUCCCUGGAACAAGAACUGGUGAGCUUCCCGCUCGCAGGGCUUCGUUUGCCUCCUCCAAUCUUAACUCCACUGUCUCCGUUUUGAUCUCCAUGCUCGAAACCACUCGCAAGAACUCGAUGGCAUCCAAGCGCAUGAGAUUCGCGACCGACAGCACUCUCCUCUCGCCCCAGAUCGCCGCGUAUGGAAUCGAGGGGACUGGAGUCAUGUAAAUCUCGCCGCAAACCACCACCCCGCCCUUGCGAAUGGCUGCCAGAGCGAGCGGUACCCCACCGAAGCAAAGAUGAUGGCGGCGUCCAAGAGUUGUGGAGGCGACGCGGUGGAAUCGCCCGACCAGGUGGCUCCAACCUUUCGAGCAAAAGCUUGCGCCUCUACGUCGCCCGGUCGAGUGAAACCAUACACUUCAUGGCCUUCGUGUCUCAACACCUGGAAGAUCCAAAGCUUUUGUACGAUUCGAGAGCGGUGGAAGAGCUCGGUGUACCUGAGCAGCAAUGUGAGCAGCAGCUCCAAAUCCAUAGAUUCCAAACUUGCGGGGUUUGGGCAUUCCAGGCGUGAUCCCAGCCAUCCUGAGCGAUCGAUAGCCGAUGAGACCGGCGCAAAGGAGUGGAGAGGCUUUCACGUCCGGGUAAUUCUCCGGAAGGGAGAAGCAGUAGGCACUGUUCGCAACAGCGUACUCGGUAUAGCCACCAUCGAUCGUAUAGCCUGCAAGAAAGAAUCUUUUUCCAUGCAAAGAAGAACUGGAAACGAAGAAUAAAGAACUUGAAAGCUUUCUCACCUGUGAAGCCUGGCUCGUCACACAAAUUCUCAGCUCCAUCCACACAGUAGCUGCAGCUCCCGCAAGUUCUUCCCAGCCAAGGAAUUCCCACUCUAGCUCCAAUUGAAAACUGCAAGCGAUCCACGCCUCGCCCGAUCUUAUCCACCAGUCCCACGAUUUCAUGACCAGGGAUUAUCGGAAGAUUGGGCUCCUUGAGCUCGCCGUCGACCUGCGCGGCGAUUCUUGGAAGGAAAUCAAAGCCUGGCGCAUACCAAUGAAGAUCCGUGCGGCACACAGCGCACGCCGAGGCCUUGACGCGGACCUGGCCGUCGCGAGGCUCUGGAAUCGGGAGCUUCGUGAGCUUGAGAGCGCUUCCAGGAGCUUCAAACACCAUAGCUCGCAUCAUAGUGGGAAAAUAUUUAGGGUUCGUUAGAAUUCACCCAGUUAAAAGAAGAAUAUUCAAAUUAGAUCAUCCUCUCCAUGUGGCAAUGAUUUACAUGGGUAAGCAGCUGGUCUUCGUGGGGAUGUUUGCUGCUCAGAGGACACCCUCAAUUGCAAUCUAUAACUGUCUCCUUCUUGAGACCAAAGGAGUAGAUUUCUCAAGGGUUUUGAGUGCAAGAGGGGUGCACACAAUUGUGGAGUUUGCUGCCAAGAAAGCCCAUCUGUGAAGGCGUAGACAAAAAUAAAAUUGCUUUGCUGAAUUGCUUGAAAAUGUGGUGCUGGUGAGCCUCAAAGCACCCUGUAGAAAUCAGUGUGUGAAGCUACUUUGAAACGAUCGAGAGCUGCCAGAAAAGCCCAUUUUGGGUUUUAGGGGAAUCUCCAACAAACUUCCAGAUGGAUGCUUUGAAUAUAUUCUAAACUAUUAAUUAACUUGGGAUAGAAAAAGCCCAAAAGCGCAUCAAGCACUGAUAUGGUACUCGUAUACCACCCCCGCUCGAAAACCACACGAGGCGUGGUCUUUCUCUUGCAGGUUUUAGCACAGCUCCAAAGGCAAGUCAAGAAGGCGGUAGCGCUAAUCUCGAUGAUAAUCCUCCUCCUCCUGGUAAUCGCGGAGCUCGAGCACCGAAAUAUUUCGGAUCACCACGUCCAUAUUGGUUUUGGAUAUGUUCAAGUAAAAUGGAUCCGUGGCGCAAUGGUAGCGCGUCUGACUCCAGAUCAGAAGGUUGCGUGAAUGAAUCGCCUCUCCGGCGCCUGCGGCUCUUCAAUCCACGAGAAUGUGCUCGAGGAGCUCCUCGCAGCUUGCCCGCUGCUUGAGGAUCUGCGUCCAUAUUCUUGAGCAUCUGUCCAGGCUCACGGUGUCAAGUGGCAGCCUCUUGUUGGGGAGGAUAUUGGGGAUAUGGCAGGGAUCCAUUUUCGAAAUUUUCCUAGACACCCAGUUGACUACCCUCGAGGUUGGCAACUUGUCACAGGACAUCUGCCUCAGUUUCAAAUCGGAGAGCCUGGAAGUCCUGAAGAUCAACACCUGCUUUAAGCUCAACAGGAAAUGUGACAUGCUCUGGAGCUUGGAAAUUUCUGGAUCCUGGGAGCUCGAUAAAUUGGUGAGCCUCUUCAAGCUCACGCCCACAAUUACAGACCUUCACCUCCACCAUCUGGACAGCAUUUCCCUUCUUCUGGAGCCCUUGUUAACUUGCGAAUCAUCGAUUUCCACUCCGGCUUGUAAGAGGUGUGUGAAACACUUGGCUCGUUGUGGUUUCCUAUUUCUUAGACACCCUCUAAUCUUCUUCUUCUUGUAGGCGCUCCUAGGCCACAGCAAUCCACGUAACUUGGACGCACUUGAUUUCCACCUGUGGUUAACAGUUCGGGAGUCCUUUGGUGGGAACUCCACUGACGAUGAUAGUUCUUUCUUGAGGGACUUGUUCAGAUGCCAGGGAGCCUGUAAACCUCACACGGACUGUAGGGUUUUGAAUUAAAAAGAGAAUAUUCUUUACAUUUAAACGUAAAGUAAAAUGGAUCCGUGGCGCAAUGGUAGCGCGUCUGACUCCAGAUCAGAAGGUUGCGUGUUCGAAUCACGCUGGGUUCAUUAGAAAUUUUAUCUAUGCGUAUUAGGGUUUUUGGAAUCUGGAGAGAAUGGGGACGCUCGACAGGCUGCUCCAGGAGGAAAUCCAGGGCGAGGCGCGGCUCCUCGAUGAUCCCGUACAGGACGGCGACGAGGAGAGCGCGCAGGUCGGGAGGAUCAUUUACAAGGCUUCAUUCGAGGAGAUGGAGGACCGAUUUGUGAACUACGACUCUGUCCAAUGGUGCUUGAUCUCGCUGCUGCUAGUUCUUGCUUGGGGAGCGGGAAUUCUUAUGCUUCUCUACUUGCCCGUGAGGAGAUCCAUCAUGAGGAGCGAUUUUAGAUCACGAAAGCUCUAUGUGACCGACAAUGCGAUUGUCUACAAGGUAUUAUUUCUUACGACUCAUAAGCUUGAAUUUCAUUUGCUUGUUUCUAAGGUCUCGAGACCAGCUUGGUUUCCAUGUUUUGGAGUGAAUCGAACGGAAAAAUGCCUGAUGCUACCUCUCGUGACUGACGUUGUCAUCGAGCAAGGUUUCGUUUUUCUUCUUUAUUUUCAUUCUAGGAUAGAGCUUCCGGCUUGUUGGAUUUUUCAAACCUUUCAAACUAAGUUCUCGGUGCGUGGUUUAGACAGUGUGAUUCCCGUUCACUUUCUUCGCAGGAUGCAUGCAAUCGGCUUUCAACCUUUCAUCUCUAAGGAUCGAAAUUGCCGGGAGAUCCAAGCCUUCUCCGAGCGACGACGUGCAGAUUCAAGGACUGGCAAAUCCUACGCUCUUCCGAAAAGUAAGGACUAUCUUCUAGGAAAAAACGAAGAAGCAAAACCAAACAUUCUUUCAGGUUGUGCUGAUGGUUGCUUCCAGUUUGAAGCCUCUGCCUCGUCUCAAUGAUCACGACGUGGAAGACCUUCCUGUCCAGCCUUCCUUGAGCAAAUCGAGUGCUUGGACUUGGGGCCAAGGCACUGGAUUGUCUUCCUGGCAGGUUAGUAUACUUGCGUAUAAAAAAUUCAUGCAUACUCUUUUUCCUUCUUUUUCUGUAGAUGGGCUAUUUGCCUCUCAAAGAAGAAGCUGGCUAUAGCUACAGUGACAACAGCAGCGAGAAGCUCUUCGAGAAGCUUGAGGACAUAAGAAACUCUCUCAAGGUUAAUUUGCAUGCAAGUUUUCUUCUGAUAUCACAUGUUCUUGUGCUAUCUUUUUCAUGUUUUCCAGAGAAUAGAAGUUCUCGUUGAAGCUCAACAGCAAUCACCAAAGCGUUGAACGAAACGUACGAGGAUUUGGAAUCCAUGUUAUGUGUAUAGAACAAAUUGGAUCCGUGGCGCAAUGUUAUGUUCAUGUAAGUAAAUGAAAAGUUAAAACUGAUUUCUUCUCACCGACCGAUUUGUCUAUUUGUUCAAUAUGAUAGAGCAUAUUUUCAAUGAUACGUCCUGUUUGAAAUUUCGUGUCUAUCAUAUGUUCAAUGUGAUAGAGCAUAUUUUCAAUGAUACUGUCUGUUUGAAAUUUCGGGUCUUUCAUAUGCUUUUUUUGCUACUAUUUAACACCUGUUUUACAGUGUUAUUGCAGACUUCAGUUUUAUGUUGUGAUCUUUCGUUCUAAAUGGCUCAAGCCAGCGCUGUCCUCUUCCUUUUCUCUUUCAUUGCGUAGGACUUUCAAGAAAUAUUUCUCCAUCUAACUUCCAAACUAUCACAGGAGAUGCAACUGUUCAGAUGUAUACAGGGGAAUUUAAGUUGCUCAGUGUUGGAGACAAAGUAAAUAUUUGCUAGACUUUGGACUUUAAUAAAUAUGCACAAAAUUGUGCAGGUUGCAGUGGGCAACAAUGCUUUCUCCGAUGUGUAUGCAUUCGGCCACAAGGAUGCCGACGCCAUUUCGGAGUUUUUCCAAGUGCACAGCGCUUCAAACAUGCUGGAGCUCACUGCUGGCCACUUUGUUCCUGUUGACAUCAAGGGAAACCUCGUGUACAAGAGAGCUGAGGAUCUCAAGGU
Molecule: long non-coding RNA, 5559 nt
Filed under: Selaginella moellendorffii
Lineage: Eukaryota; Viridiplantae; Streptophyta; Lycopodiopsida; Selaginellales; Selaginellaceae
Description: long non-coding RNA (SMOE_LNC002139)
Rfam family: tRNA (bases 3543-3614)
Source: RNAcentral